Molecule: ribosomal RNA, 373 nt
Filed under: uncultured organism
Description: partial 16S ribosomal RNA
Rfam family: Bacterial small subunit ribosomal RNA
Source: RNAcentral
GUAGGUGGCAAGCGUUGUCCGGAAUUAUUGGGCGUAAAGCGCGCGCAGGUGGGUUCUUUAAGUCUGAUGUGAAAGCCCCCGGGCUCAACCGGGGAGGGUCAUUGGAAACUGGGGAACUUGAGUGCAGGAGAGGAAAGUGGAAUUCCACGUGUAGCGGUGAAAUGCGUAGAUAUGUGGAGGAACACCAGUGGCGAAGGCGACUUUCUGGCCUGUAACUGACACUGAGGCGCGAAAGCGUGGGGAGCAAACAGGAUUAGAUACCCUGGUAGUCCACGCCGUAAACGAUGAGUGCUAAGUGUUGGGGGGUUUCCGCCCCUCAGUGCUGCAGCUAACGCAUUAAGCACUCCGCCUGGGGAGUACGGCCGCAAGACUG